Small nucleolar RNA from Oryctolagus cuniculus (rabbit), 126 nucleotides. The record is from Ensembl. Lineage: Eukaryota; Metazoa; Chordata; Mammalia; Lagomorpha; Leporidae.
GGCCUCCUUACCACUGGCUGCAUUCUUACACUGACUGUAUAGAAAGAGGAGGCAGAGUAGACUUUCCCCAAAUAUACCUCAACUCAGGCUUCAUGCCUGGUCUCUACUAUGAAUGGGGGGACAUGG